UCCAUUCCGUUCUGUUCCAUUCCAUUCCUUCAUGUAUCCAUGCAUUCCAUCCAUCCAUCCAUCCAUUUAUUCUAUCUAUGCCGUCACUCACUCAAGAGACAUUGGGCUUCUAGUAUAUGCUAGACUCUGUUCAAGACACUGGGGGAUAUAGAAGCGAACAAAACAGAUAAUGAAGAGAUAGUGUCCUUACCCCCAUGGAACUUACAUUUUAGUGGGAGAAAUAAACAACAAAUAAGCAAAUAAAUAAAUAUGUUAGGAAGUAACAUAAAGCUUUGAAGAAAAGUAGAGCUGGCUAAGAUGAAGGGGAGUGAUGAGAGCAGUGUUUAGAUCGUGUGGUUCAGGGAACAUCUCUCUGAGUAGAGACUUGAGGGAACCCAGCAGCUGGGUAGAGAAGAGCACCUGGACAGAGGAGUAGCAGGUGCCCAGGCCUUGAGGGGGAAGAUGCUGGAGUGUGAGAGGCCAGGAGGCCAGUGCUGCUACAGUGGAGUCAGGGCAGGUGACACAAGAUUUAUUCCAGGUGUGAUGGGAAGCCACUGGAUAGUUUGUGGGGUGGGGGGCUAUAACUCGACUCUGAUGCAGAGGUCCAGUCUGGCUGCUGUGUGGCAGUAGAUUGUAGGGCAAGAGUGGAAGCUGAGAUACCAGUUUUUUGUUUUUUUCUAAAAUGUUUUUACUGUGGUAAAAUAUACAUAAAAUGUACCAUCUUAGACAUUUUCAGCAUACAGUUGAGUGGUAUUAGAUACAUUCAUAGUGUUGUGUGGCCAUCACCACCAUCCUCUCCAUAAUGCUUUCAUCCUGUGAAACUUGAGACAUCGGUUUUGAGGCUGUUGCAGUGGUGCUGGGGAGAGAGGAUGGUGCUCAGAGGAUGGAGCCACAGAGGCAAGGAGAAGUGGUUGGGUUGACAGAGCUGACGAGUGAGGGGGAAGGGCAUAAAGGAGGACCUCAGCACUUUGGACCAUCAAAUUAGGAGACAGGGAUUCAGUGGGGAACUCACCACGAGACAACCUAAAGGCUGGCAGUAGGAAGAGGGGUUAGUCUGGCUUUGCAUUGUAUUUCUCUGGAGUGCAGGACUAGGGCAGUGGGUUGGACCUUGAGGGGUAUUGCAGGUGGGAGGUAGAAGAGCAUUAGUGGUGCUGAAACCUGCACACUUUCGAGCCAGAGUGCCUUGGUCCAGGUGCCUGCCCCACCUCUCACAGUAUGGCCUGGGACAGGCAACCUCUCUAUGCUUCAGUUUCCUCAUCUGUAAAACAGACCUAAUUUUCUACUUCAUAGGGCUGUGGAGAGGAUUGAGUUAAUUCGGUUAACUCAGUUCACUCAACUAACUCAAUUGUAAAGUGCUGAAAAGCAUGUGUGGCAUGUAGUAACAUGCUCAAUACAUGAUUAUUGCUACCUGGAGGCGGUCCCAGAAUAAUGCCCUGGAUUAUGAUGCUUUCAAAUGUCCCGGAUAUGAAGUUCCAGAUUAUGAUGCUUUCAAAAGGUGCACUGGCUCCUCCUGAGACCAUUGUACUCCCACCAUUGGACAGGCUCUGCACCUGCUGGGGGACUGGGCAGGCUGUGGAGGGAUCUUCCCACUCUGCGAAGUGGGUGUAGCUGAUGGCCCCCAGAAGCCCCAGCCUCCAGCUCUCCACACUCUCUUCAGCCCCUUCUGUGAUAUGUCUCGCUCUUAAUCCUUUUUGCUUUAAGAAAACUCUUCUUUGCCCUUUUACAUCUUCUGUUGACAUUUAAAAUUCCUUCCCUUUGUUCUGACCUUAUUGAAUAGAGAGAAUAAUUUCUUGGAAUUCUCUGUAUAAUGAAUGUUCAGGUACUUACAGAUGCUGAUCGAGUUUCUCCUCAACCUUUCCUUCGAGAGACCUUGCAUCAUUUGGUGUAGAAACACUUUAGGAAGCACUUAGGAAGAUGGUGUAAAAUGAAAAUGCUGCUGCUGUUCUUGCUGUUGCUGCAAAUGUGAGCCCUUUGUAACCCAGAUAUCAGCUUGGGUACCCUGCCCUUAGAGAUGCAAAUGAAAUUGGCUCAAACUCCCAUACCAUGUAUCCUACAAACCCUGAAGUGUUCCCAGGUUCUCUGCAAAUUUUUGUGAAGCUGGUGGUGGUGGUGUUCAGUGGCUCACCCACAGAAUAAAUACUCUGAUCCCCUCACUCUCCUAAACAUUCCUACCAGAAGGCUGGGUGUGGAGAAGAUUUUGACUGAGUAAUGAAGCAGUAGUUCUGGCAGACUAACCCUCCCACAGCUAACAACUAUAAACUGUACAACAGCAACAACAACAAAACUACCUGAAGGUAUUGGAGAGCAAAAAAAAGCAGGCAGAGACUGGACAGACGUCUACCCUCCAAAGAAGGAAAUGGUACUGGAUGAGUUUCUGACUUUUAUGAUUUUGUCUGUUUGUUUUGCCUAAGCAUAGGCUCCAGUCUGUGCCAGACAGGCUGCUAAAAAUUUGUAUAGAAAAUCUGUAGUGUUACUGGCUUGAAGAACCAGAGGACAGAGUUUGGGGUAACCACAGCAGCUGGAAAGUGGCUAUAAACUCUACCCAAAUCUUUGAAUGCAGACUCUAAGCAGCUCAACUAAGGCAAAGAGAACUGAAUAGAAAUUUCUGCUGCUGCACACCGCAAGGGAAACAGAGUUUGAAAUUUGAGUAGAGCCAGGUUAGCUGCGUGUUUUUUUUUUUAAAUCAAUAUUCUUCAGAGGAGCAUAAAAGAAUUUAGAGAUAACAUACAUUUUGUAAUGUUCAGUAUUCCACCCAAAAUUCCUAGAUAAAGCAAGAAACAGGAAGAGGGGGCCUAUAUUCAAGAGAAAGGCCAUCAAAGGAGCUUAUUGCCAAGAUGAUCCCAAUGUUGAAAUUAGCAGACAAGUAUUUUAAAACAGUUAUUAUAGAUGUGCUGAAGGACACAAAGGAAAAUAUCCUCGCAACAAGUAAAACAACGGGGAAUCUCAGUAGAGAAAUAGAAGCUACAAGAAAAACAAGUGUUAAAUUCUGGAACUGAAAAAUACAGUAUCUGAAAUGAAUAAUUCACCAUUUCGAUUCCAUAACAGAGGGAAAUGACAGAGCCAGUGGACUUGGAGAUAGAUCAACAGAAAGUAUUCAGCCUUAAAACAGAGAAAAAUGAUGGAGGAGAAGAAGGACAGAUACUCAGAGAACUGUGGACAAUAUCAGAAAAUCUAUUAUACAAGUAAUUGAGCUCCAGAAGAGAGGAGGGAGAGAAUGGGGAAGAAAAAAAUAUUUUCAAUAAAUAAUAUCAGGAAAUGCCCCAUAUUUGGUGAGUUUCUUUUUUAAAAGAAAAAAAAAAAUCCCAAACAUGUAAAUUGCAAACAGGACAAAUACAAAGAAAACCACACCUAGGCAUAUGGUAGUCAAACCAAAGAUGAAGAGAAAAUCUUGAAAGCAGUCGGAGAAAAAUGAGUGUCAUGUGGAGGAGAAUAAUCAUGUGAAAAACUACUCACUCUUCACCAGAAAUAGUGGAGUCUAGAGACAAUGGAAUGGUAUCUUUAAAGAUAGAAAACUAAAAAUGGUAUCUUUAAAGUUCAUACUUAUAGUGAAUGAGAUCAGUUUGUAGAUCACUGCUGGCCUUCUUGUUAUCUAUGACACAGUGGCUCACCCACAAAACAAAUAUUUGGGUCUCCUCACUCUCCUAAAUAUUCCUAUCAGGAGGCUGGGUGUGGGGAAGAUUUGACUGAAAUGGAGUAAUGGAGUAUGUGUAUGGCAGGUAUGAGGUGGAGGUGAGGAGGUGGGGUAUCUUUGAUGGCAUCUUUAAAGAUAGGAAACUAGGAACAUGUCAACUCAUGAUUCUGUAUCCUUCAAGAAUGAAUGUGAAGCCAGGCAUGGUGGUGCAUGCCUGUAAUCCCAGCUACUUGCGAGGAUGAGGUGGGAGGAUCACUUGAAGCCAGGAGUUCAAGACCAGUCUGGGCAAUGUAGUGAGACCUUGUCUCAAAAAAUUAGGUAGGCAUGGUGACAUGCACCUGUAGUCCCAGCCACUCAGGCUGAGACGGGAGGAUUGCUUGAGCCCAGGAGUUCAAGGCUGCAGUGAGCUGUGAUUGUGCCACCCAGGCUGGAGUACUCAGCCUCCUGAAUUUACUGUGUCUAGUAUCCAAAUAAAGAUUACAAAACAUGCAAAGAAGUAAAAAAAAUAUGAACCAUGAUGAGAAGAAAAAUCAGUCAAUAGAUACAGAUCCAGAAAUGGCACAGAUGAUACAAUGAGUAGACAAGAACUGUUCAACCAACUAUUAUAAACAUAUUACAUAUGUGCAAAAAGGUAGAGACUAGCAUGAGCUUAUUAAGAAGAGACAUGGGCGAUACAAAAAAGAUCCAAACUGGACUUCUAGAGAUGAAACAAAGUCUUCAGUGAAAAACACAGUACAUGGAAUUAACAGCAGAUCAGAAACUAUAAAAGAGGUUAGCGAACUUGAAGUCAUAGAAGCUAUCCAAAGUGAAAUACAGGGAACAAAAAGCUUGGGGGAAAAAUGAACAGAUCAUCAGUGAGCUGUGGGACAACUUCAGGUUCACCCAAUAUAUGUGAAAGUGGAGUCCUCAAAGAAGGGUAGAACAGAAAAAAUAUUUAAAGAAAUAAUGGCUGAAACUUUUCUAAAUUUGAUGAAAAUCAUAAACCCAUAGAUUCAAGAAUCUCAGUGAACCCCUGGCACAGGAAACAUGAAGAAAAAAGUUCACCAAGGUAUAUUAUAAUGAAGUUUCUUUUCUUUUCUUUUCUUUUUUUUUGAGACGGAGUCGCACUCUGUCUCCCAGGCUGAAAUGCAGUGGUGUGAUCUCGGGUCACUGCAACCUCCGCCUCCCAGAUUCAAGCGAAUCUUCUGCCUAAGCCCCCAGGUAGCUGGGAUUACAGUUGCCUGUCACCACGCCUAGCUAAUUUGUAUUUUUAAUAGAGACAGGGUUUCACCAUAUAGGCCAGGCUGGUCUCGAACCUCUGACCUCAAGUGAUACACCCACCUUGGCCUCCCAAAGUGCUGGGAUUACAGGCGUGAGCCACCGCACUUGGCCUGAAAUUUCUUAUAACUACUGUUAAGGGGAAAAAAACUUAAAAGUAACCAGAAGGGGGAACAAGGCACAUUACAUACAGAGGAGCAAAGACGAGAGUGACCUGAACUUCUCAUUGGAAAUACUGCCAGAAGACAGUGGAACACCGUUUGAAAGCACUGAAAGGAAAAGCCAAAACCAAAACCACUGUCAACCCCAAAUUUAAUAUCCAGUGAAAUAUCUUUUAAAAAAGAAAGGCAGAUUACUUUUUCAGGCAUUUUAAAACCGAAGUGAUUUCGCCGUCAGCAAACUUGCGCUAUAAGACAUGUUAAUAAAGGGAGUCCUUGACACAGAAGGAAAAUGAUGCUAGAGAGAAAUCUACAUUUGCAGAGAGGAAUAAUGAGCACUAGAAAUGGUAAAUAUGUGGGAAAAUGUAAGAUGUUUUUUGUUCUUAUUUAAAAAUCACUUUCAAUGAUGAUUGACUGUUUAGAGUAAAAACAUAAUAAUGUGCCGUUUGUAACAUAUGUAGAUGUAAAAUACACAAUAACAAUAGCACAAAGGCUAGGAUGGAGGAGAUUGUGUAUAUUAUUGUUACAGUUCUCAUAGGGGAAGUGAUAAUAUUACUUGCAAGUAGUCUGUGAUAAGCUAAAGAUGUAUGCUGUAAACCUUAAAGCAACUAGUAAUAAAACAGAUUUAUGGUUAUAAGUCUAACAAUGGGAGAUAAAAUAACAAAAGAUAUUCAAUGCAAAAGAAGGCAAAAAAAUUAGGAAAGAGGGAACAAGGAACAGAUGGGAUAAAAACAAAUAACAAGAUUUAAACCCAAACCAUAUCAAUUAUGGAUGAAAUGGUCUACCCAUCCCAUUUGAAAGACAAAGAUUGUUAGGUUGGAUAAAAAGUCAAGACUCAGUGCCUAUAAGAAACCCACUUUAUAAAGACACAAAAAGUUAAAUAUAAAGGGAUAGAAAAAGAUAUAUCAUACUAAUAGUAAUAAAAGAAAGCUGGAGUUAACAUAGACAAGAGCAGAUUUCAGAGCAAAGAAUAGUACCAGGAUAAAGAGACUCAUAACAACAAGGGGGUCAGUUCAUCAAAGGACAUAACAUUAGGUGUGUAAUGUCAGCUGCUUAAACAUUAGGUGCAUAAAUAUUUAUAUAAAUAAUAAGCGAGCUCUAAAAUACAUGAAGCAAUACUGACAGAAGCUGAAUGGAGAAAUAGUAAAAUCCACAAUUAUAGUUGGAGAUUUCAACACCCCGCUCUCAAUAAUCAAUAGAUCAAGUAGACAGAAAAUCAGUUAAGAUUUAUAAGACUGGAACAACACUGUCACCCAAUUUGGCUUAAUUGACAUUUAUGGAACACUCCAUGUAACAACAGCAGAAUAUACAUUCUUUUCAAUUGCCCAUGGAAUGUCCACCAAGAGAGACCAUAUAAAACAAGUCUCAGUGUAUCUAAAAAGAUUGGAAUCAUUCAAAGUAUAUUCUCUGACUACUAUGGGAUUAAAUUAAAAAUCAGUAACAAAAGUAUCUGGACAAUUUCUAAAUAUUUGGAAACUAACACACUUCUAAAUAGCCCGUGGGUCAAUGAAGAAACAGAUAGAGACAUUAGAAAGUAUUUGGAAUGGAAUGCAAAUGAAAACACAAUAUAAAAAAUUUGUGCAGUGUUACUAGAAGAGUUCUCAGAUAGUAAUUUAUAGCACUAAAUAUCUAUAUUAGUUGGGAAGAAAUUUUCAAAUCUGUGAUCUCAGCUUCUACCUUAAGACACCAGAAAAAGAAAAGCAAAUUCAACCCAAAUAAGCCAAUAAAAAUAAGAGCAGAAAUAACUGAAAUAGCAAAUAGAAAAAUAGUAGAGGAAAAUCAGUGAAACAAAAAGUUGGUUCUUUGAGACCAAUGAAAGGUAUAUUUAGCCUGACUCAUGGGAGAUAACAGAGAAAAAUUGCAAAUUACUAAUAUUAGGAAUGAGAGAAGUGACCUAAUUAUAGAUACUGCAGACAUUUGAAAGACACUAAGGUAAUGUUAUGACCACCUUUAUGCCAAUGAAUUCUACAACUUAGAUGAUAUGGAAGAGUUCCUUGAAAGACGCAAACAAUAAAAGCUCAUUCAAGAAGAAA
Long non-coding RNA from Homo sapiens (human), 7058 nucleotides. RefSeq lists it as uncharacterized. The record is from RefSeq and is a predicted model, not a curated record. NCBI's taxonomy places the organism in Eukaryota, Metazoa, Chordata, Mammalia, Primates, Hominidae. The transcript has 2 exons.